GUGCGAGCGUUGUCCGGAAUCACUGGGCGUAAAGGGUGCGUAGGCGGCCGUGCAAGUCUGGCGUGAAAGCCCCGGGCUCAGCCCGGGAAGUGCGCUCGAAACUGCGCGGCUCGAGUGCCGGAGGGGAGAGUGGAAUUCCUGGUGUAGCGGUGAAAUGCGUAGAUAUCAGGAGGAAUACCGGUGGCGAAAGCGACUCUCUGGACGGCAACUGACGCUGAGGCACGAAAGCGUGGGGAGCAAACAGG
Molecule: ribosomal RNA, 245 nt
Filed under: uncultured bacterium
Lineage: Bacteria
Description: partial 16S ribosomal RNA
Rfam family: Bacterial small subunit ribosomal RNA
Source: RNAcentral